CUCUAUAUAUAUAUUUCUGCAUAGUACCAUGACGUUUUCUGAUGAAUCAAAAUUUGGUUUAUAGGUUAUGAAAGAAGUGUGAAAUCAUAAUAAAAUAUUUCUGGUUCUUUGUGUGUGAGAAAUCAGUGUAAUUAUGUAAUAAAUGCAAAUAAAUAAUAAAUUUUGAAAGUCUUUACAUUGUUAGGCAGCUUCUCAGGUUUAGCCAAUUAGUCAUCUUACAUAUUAGAUACUACUAAGAGUAAUAUAUGUAGAUCUUAAUAUUGAAAAAUCAAAUGGUAUUCCAUGACGAACAGUUAUAGGAUAUCAAACAAAAAAAGGUCAAAAUGCAUGUUUGGGUGUUCCAUUCGCACAUACAAGUGACAAAGGAAAGCACUUUAAAAAACAAAGAUUGGGAGAGGUGGGGGGGGUAAGGUUAAGUGAAAAUGAAAAUGUAAGUGAAAGUCUAAAUGGCUGGUUAUCACAUAUAUUGAAAGUGCUUUCUCUGGGUACUAUGUAUGUUUGAAUGGAACAGUCAUAAUCAUAUUUAAAAGUAUUAUAGAUGUAUUUUGAU
RNAcentral lists this long non-coding RNA (550 nucleotides) under Mytilus galloprovincialis (Mediterranean mussel). The record is from RNAcentral. Lineage: Eukaryota; Metazoa; Mollusca; Bivalvia; Mytilida; Mytilidae.